CGACCGAUCAAAGUUGUGAUGAUUGAAAAAAAAAAUGUUCAUACAGUUUCCAUCAUUUACAAGACAAAGUUGUGCAUCGCCACUCAGUAGAGACAUGAAGUUGACUUUCGUCCUUGUUUUCGUUUUCACGCUGUGUGCCAUGUUUCACUUUGGCAGCACCAGACCUGGUGGUGGAAUUUGUAGUUAUCCACCUUGUGCCAUCCCGUUCAAUGUGCCGUACGAUGUAGCAUACUAUCGCCUUUACGGACAGACAUAGUCAAAAGCUGCAAGCUACAGUGAAAUAAAAUGUCAAUUGGUGCUUCGAACAAUGAAAUUCCUAUACUCCUGGUGAACAUGCUUUCUUGAUUCGUCCAUUUGAGCCAUACAUAUAUACAUCAAAUUUGAUAAAAAAAAAUAUAUCUGACCAAUGGGUUCUCCGUAUUAAUUGCGUCUGUCCACAGCACGAUUCUACGCAGAAAUUACAUAACGUUCCCACAACUUUUGCAAGUUGAAUUAGUUUUUUGUUUCAGAGAAUCGGUAUUAUACUGAUAUUGAAAAUAUUAUCCAUAUGCUUAGCCCGUUUUCAAUUGUUCCAGUAGUUUUAUCUAUACACCUGUUGCACAGACAAACAGACGUCUCACUCUACUCACUUCUCAUCGUUACCCUUUUUAACGGUUAGUUCAAAUAUUGUGUAGUUCGCAAAUCGCUCGGUCACGGCGCUCGCAUCGUUUUUGUUCUUGUUCGACGUUUGCUGACUACUGCCACCUACUGAGUGGUUUGUGUAACAUAGUCUGGUUAGCAUUGGGCGAUUAUGUUUUCGUGACGAUGAUUUUUAUCGCAAUUUGUUCCAAAUGAUACGUCUGUUUGUCUGUGCCUGUUGGUUACAGCUAAAGCAAAGACAAACAUACGUAACACCUACAACUUUUUUCGUAAAAAUCCAUCGUCUUGCUCACACUAUGAUCACCUGGUGGACAUGACGCACGAAACACUGCGUUGUGCAACAUCGUCAGCAGAAGGCGCUUGGGUGAAACGUCAAACGCAAAGAAAAACAAUGAACACGCCUCUGGUUUUGAAGGCCACAACUAUGAAGAUUUUAUAUAAUCGUUAAAAACAUGGUCGAUGGGAAUUUCGCCGGAGUAACGUUUGGUUGUCUAUGGUUAAAGCAUGUAAAAUCUAAUUAUGGCGUAUAAGCUACCGUGUUUCCAUAAGGGUAUUGAUUAACCUCUGUGAGCGCUGUAACAUUUGCGCAGUGGAGGUAAUUCUCAGCUUUCAAAUAUUCACAUUUCUACAUUAGUUUCUUCCAAAAAUGAUGAUGCACCACAUAUUCGCGAUUCUUGUAGUCGUUUUAUCGUUGAUGAGCUUGAAUCAAGAGACAGUAGACGCAUUCAGAAAAAAGCGGCUAGGAUAUGUAGGCGAUAUCAACGGUUGUAAUUGGAUCAGUUGUGAUUUUGACAAGCUUCGUGAAGAUUCAAUAAACAAUAUGUAGUCUUGUAGGCAUGGAUUUUUUUUUAUUGAAAGGACACGAUACCAAACAUAUAAAACCAUUUAGAUUUUUUGAUGUGUGUAGUAUUAAAUUCAACAAACUUAGGGGAAUGAUGCGCGUCUUCGAAGCAGAACUACUUUCAGUGAUUUAACAGGAAUUUGUGAAGUAGUACCAAAUCAUACAGAAAAACUUGUAGUUAGAAGACACAGAAGUUGCUAAUUGACAAAAUGAGAGAUGAAUUUGUGGAAAAAAAAUCGCGAUCUUGUGGGAUUCGAACCCACGACCCCGUAUUCGCUAGACCGGUGCUUUAACCAACUACGACACAGAUGUCAAUCCACAACACACCCGCGUAUGUGCCCAGUAGACCACCUCACGGCGAAAUUCUAUCUCUUUCGCACUUUCAGAGAGUUUGAAAACAACAGGAC
Long non-coding RNA from Aedes albopictus (Asian tiger mosquito), 1887 nucleotides. RefSeq lists it as uncharacterized. The record is from RefSeq and is a predicted model, not a curated record. NCBI's taxonomy places the organism in Eukaryota, Metazoa, Arthropoda, Insecta, Diptera, Culicidae. The transcript is spliced from 4 exons.